Vicugna pacos (alpaca) is the source of this 708-nucleotide long non-coding RNA. RefSeq lists it as uncharacterized. The record is from RefSeq and is a predicted model, not a curated record. Lineage: Eukaryota; Metazoa; Chordata; Mammalia; Artiodactyla; Camelidae.
CGGAUUCCUAGAUUGGGUACUCAGGGAAGGCCUCUUUGAAGAGACGGAGCUUGCAGCGAGGAGAAACCAGGCAGGUGCUGUAAAGCACGCUCCUGCCAGGGGAACAUCAUGUGCAAAGGCCCUGAGGUGAAAAAGACAUGCGCUGUGUGCUGGGAGUAGAGAGAGAAAGACACCAUGAACCCCGUCCGCAAUGCAGCCUUGUCCUGGAAAUGACAGUGUUGAGGGAACAAAGACAGCCGGAAGGAAGAGGAGUUUGACCUUGUGGGAGCAAACCUGGGAAGCCUUCCUGGAGGAGAUGAUACUCUAACCCGAAUGUUGAAAAUGAAUGGGAAUUUGCUACUGGCUGGAAGUGGCUGGGCAGGGAGGAGGUGGUAGAGAGGAUGGUGGUGUGUGCAUGCAGCUGCGAAGGCUGAGUGACUGCCGGGAGUGGGAUGGGAGGGAGCAGCGAGCCCAACGCCGUGGAGUGGUCCUCUUGCAACGCUGGCAUCUGUCUGCCUGGGGAGAGUGGGGACCUUGGGGGCUGCUGGGCCGGCGGCCUGUACCACAUGGCUGGGCAGGCCGGCCGCUGGGAAGCCCUCUUCCUUCCCUCCAUCCCUCUCCCCUCCUCUCUGCUGCUCACAACGUGGUCCUGAAAUGACACCAAGAGCAGCUGCUUAAGCGAUUUUGCCAAUUAAUGGGUCUCUGAAAUUAAACCGCCUGCACAGCCUG